UGUUAACAAUUUCAUCCAAUGGUACUAUUAAAAACUGGCAUGGCUAGGAGAAUAACAAGACAAUGACAUAUGGCGUGCACAUAUACUUUAUGUUGACAUAGAGAGACUAGCUUUUAACAGUAGAAAUGAAUGAAAUUUUUAAGA
Gossypium hirsutum (cotton) is the source of this 144-nucleotide non-coding RNA. The record is from Rfam. Lineage: Eukaryota; Viridiplantae; Streptophyta; Magnoliopsida; Malvales; Malvaceae.